This is a long non-coding RNA of Pipra filicauda (Wire-tailed manakin), 1597 nucleotides long. RefSeq lists it as uncharacterized. The record is from RefSeq and is a predicted model, not a curated record. Lineage: Eukaryota; Metazoa; Chordata; Aves; Passeriformes; Pipridae. The transcript has 11 exons.
CGCUGGUACUGUGCCUCGUGGCGACCUCGGCGCUGUGCGAGCGGGGUCCCAUGGGGGCCCCCACGGGUUUGGGGGUAUCAACUUGGAGGUGCAGGGUGAUACACGAGGAGCUGAGUUGUGGGGUCUUUCCCAGGAGCCCUUUUUCCGUGGGAAACGCGCCUGGCAUGUGGCAGUGUGGGAUGGGCCCGCUGCAAAUAUGCAUCAGCUAUGCUAUUCCUUCUUGUGGCUUCAAAACAGAUCUGCCACCAAAUGCACAGCCUUGAUGCCCCUUCACAAGGAUUUGACUCCUGCACUCAGCAGACGUGCAGAAGGAACAUCACCUGGCACUGGGAGAUGAGGCUCUAACCUGUGCAAGAUUGCCCUGGACAGAGGAGACCUGUGCCUCUUGUGUGAGAAGCUAUUUCAUCUGUUACUGAUGUUGGUGAAGCCAAGGCCUUCCUAAUUGCAGGCUUCCAAAAUGUUUCUCCUUGCAAGGUGCAGUGGAGCUGGGAAGUGGGGCAGUUGGGAGUGCUGCCAGCAAAAGGGUGAAUCUCGUGGGGAGUUCCUGUGAGAAACAAGGUGGAUGUGCCUGAGGAAAGUGUAGAGUACAUGGGGGUUUGUAAUUCCUGGAAUACUGUCUUUGUGCUGAAUGCCUAGGUAGUGGUACCUAAAAGGUGUCCUGUAAGAGAUCUGAUUUGUCUUCCCUUUAUUGUAUUCUGAUUCUCCUGCUCCCAUCUACUGUGGGAAUAAACAUGUGCCUGAAGCAAGAAUGCACUUCCGUGUGGUUCUGAAUUUGCCAUGAAAAGGAAGGGCUGUUUCUGAGCAGGUACCUGAGUGUAGUCAGUGGUAAACUUGGUGUGGAGUUCUGACUGAACAGAUGUGGCCUCAAUGACUCUAAAAAUUGGGAGUUUAUUGCAACGUUGCACUGUGUAAUUAAAAGAAAAACAACUCUAUAUUCUCUAGUUGUCACUUCUCAGCAAUUUUUGCUGAUCUUUAUGCUGGCUCUACGCAAAUUUAGACUCAAGUUCUAGAUAUUUGCUGUAUGAUCUUGUUUCCCAACAGACUGGUUCUAAUUUUUAAAGAUAGGUUCUUGGGAUGAUUUCUAUGAGACUUGUAAUUUGGGUACCUAAACUCAUUAAAUACAAUUUUCCAAUGGGGAGAGACAGCAUCACAAAGCAAGUAGUAGCUUUGUACUUACCCUGUUUCUUCCAAUGUUUGUAAUUCUGUAUUUCCAAUUCAGUUAGGAUUUGUAAGCUUUGUGUCUCCUAUAUUUGGGUGUUGCAAGUUGAACUUGUGAGUUGCCAGCUGAAAGGCAGCCUUCCCCCAGGUGAAAUUAGUUUGGUGAAUAGGAAUUCAUAGAUAAACAAACUUGUAUAUAGUGCUGCUGUCUGUUAUUCUGAAAGUACCUCUCUCUUCUCAGGAAAGGACUGUGCUGUUUGCAGCCUCACUGGGUGAGGAAGCAACUUUGCAAUUACUGUAUGAAGAACUGAGAAGGUGGAGGAUUGCAGUAUAAUGGGCCACACUUGCAUGAACAGCAUUAAAAAGCCCAAGUGUUUUUUACCCCACUGGUAAUGUUUGCCUGACGCUGGUUGGAGCCAAUAAAAAUCUGCAAACUCUG